CAUCUUCAGCUCAGCGUCACUCGUAACAAUUGUGGCAGCACUAAGAAGUGUGUGUCGUUUCCAUCUAAUUGUGAUCCUGCAGGAACCUCCAGCUGCUUUUUCGUCUCAAUUCAGUUAAAAAACCAAAUGUUCUUCUUUGAACUCAGCGGCACAACGGCUGGAUAUGUCGCAUUGGGACUCAAUAAACAGGGAACUACCAUUUUGUUUGCCUGCAUCAAUAUCAGCAACAGUUUCUUCUUCCAAACAGGUAUUCAAAAAGGCCAAAUUUGGACCCCUGCUAAUGUGACCAUUGUGUACAACGUUCAAGGUGUAGUUGCACAAAACCCAAGUCUUAUUCACUGUAUCUUCAACACCAGUGCCAGUUUCACCAUCAGCAACAAAUCUGAUGAGACCUCAUUUAGUGUCUCCAUUCUGAGUGGAACCACCAAUGAAAUCCAACUGGGAAAUGCAGCUAUAAUGUUUGACUCCAAAGUACCAUUAAACCUGACUGAUCCCACUGGCCAGAACAGCAGCAACUCAAUCGUCAGCCGCUG
Long non-coding RNA from Ictalurus punctatus (channel catfish), 533 nucleotides. The record is from Ensembl. NCBI's taxonomy places the organism in Eukaryota, Metazoa, Chordata, Actinopteri, Siluriformes, Ictaluridae.